ACGCUCGACACCUACGGGAGGCAGCAGUGGGGAAUAUUGCACAAUGGGGGAAACCCUGAUGCAGCAACGCCGCGUGAGUGAAGAAGUAUUUCGGUAUGUAAAGCUCUAUCAGCAGGGAAGAAAAUGACGGUACCUGACUAAGAAGCCCCGGCUAACUACGUGCCUGCAGCCGGCGGUAAUCUGAGGCGGGCUGGCAAGGC
RNAcentral lists this ribosomal RNA (200 nucleotides) under uncultured bacterium. RNAcentral describes it as "partial 16S ribosomal RNA". It matches the Rfam family "Bacterial small subunit ribosomal RNA", at positions 328 to 539 of the family's 1533-position model. The record is from RNAcentral.